UACGUAGGCAGCAAGCGUUGUUCGGAAUUACUGGGCGUAAAGGGUGCGUAGGCGGUUGGGCAAGUUUGGUGUGAAAUCUCCCGGCUUAACUGGGAGGGUGCGCCGAAAACUGCCCGGCUAGAGUAUGGGAGAGGGAAGCGGAAUUCCUGGUGUAGCGGUGAAAUGCGUAGAUAUCAGGAGGAACACCUGCGGUGUAGACAGUUUCCUGGACCAUUACUGACGCUGAUGCACGAAAGCGUGGGGAGCAAACAGG
Molecule: ribosomal RNA, 253 nt
Filed under: uncultured bacterium
Lineage: Bacteria
Description: partial 16S ribosomal RNA
Rfam family: Bacterial small subunit ribosomal RNA
Source: RNAcentral